GCAAACUGUACCGCAAGGAGUCUAAUUUGUAGGGCAUUUGGAUAAAAUGAAACGCAACGCAUUGUACAUUACACACCACGUGCAUUUCUGAUGGGGAUUGGAGAUUGCAAUUAUACCCCCGGAAUGAGGAAUUCCCAGUAAGUGUGGGGCAGAAACUCGCUUUGAUUAAGUCCUUGCUCUUUGCA
Molecule: non-coding RNA, 185 nt
Filed under: Cariama cristata (Red-legged seriema)
Lineage: Eukaryota; Metazoa; Chordata; Aves; Cariamiformes; Cariamidae
Description: Eukaryotic small subunit ribosomal RNA
Rfam family: Eukaryotic small subunit ribosomal RNA
Source: Rfam by way of RNAcentral